This 27-nucleotide non-coding RNA is filed under the name Homo sapiens (human). Lineage: Eukaryota; Metazoa; Chordata; Mammalia; Primates; Hominidae. The record is from RNAcentral.
UUGACCAGCAACAGGGGUCGGUGUGUC